UCAAUUCAACGGGGGGGGUUGGGAGGUGGGACGGGCGGAGGUAGGACAGCCAGACCGGCUGCCUGGUCUGGUGUAGGUCCAUCUCCAUCUGCAACCGUGUAUCCAUUGUUGGACGCUGCGUUGCCAUCGUCAAUCUCCAUUGCGUCCUCGUUGGGUUCCUUGGGGAUGUCGUCUGAUAGCUCAAUGUAGCGUCUCGUCUUUGGCAACUUGCGAAGAGACGGCGGAAUCACUUUGUUGAACGCGCGGUUGCGAUGUUGGACGAAAGUUGGUGCAUCCUGAUCUGCGUGGAACCGUAUCUCACGUAGGGGAAUCUUCUUUUUCCCUUCUUGCGAAACCAGAGUAUCUGGGCAUCCGAUUUGCGCGAAAAAGACGGUGCGGUCUCACGACAUGAGACCCAUCGUUUUGUAUUUUGGCGUAAUCAACACAGGUCGAGCGCCUUCGUUGACAAACCAUUGUAAGAGGGCGCUGUUCCAAACAGUCUCUCAAACACGGCACACACGUUUGUGCUACGAGGAAGCGAUCUCCCGACUUGGAGGGAGAGAAGACGACUUGAGGACUUGGAGGUAAAAUUGCAACUGAAUUAAAAAUGCUGUUAUGGUUCCUGUCGCUAUAUACAAUUGAACCUCAAGGGCUCCUAGAGAUUUUACAAGUAAAACCUACACAUGCAGAAAUAAAACCUAUGAAUCUGAUAUAUAAAACCUUGGGUACACUGAGGUUGAACCUAGGGGAUCUGCUGGGAACUUGAACUUGAAGUACCGCAGAGAUUCCCUGCGAAGUGAUUGGCGGGAGCCACUCACUUCAGAGGAUAGAGACACGUCGGUCUCGUCACCAGUGUAGAUUCCCAAGUCGGAACCAUCACUCUGUACUUGAUUAGUACAUGGAUACUUGUGACAUCAUCAGAUGACGUCACACGUGCAUGUGGGAUCUGUUGUACCGCAAUCCCUUUGUUAUUUGCUACCACAAUGCACGCUGAAGGUGGUGUGUCCAACACUAACGUAGGGCACAGCCGCACCUUCAUGUAAUGGCUAGGUAUAGCUCAUUACAACCAUUGGUAAAUGUCUUUGUCUGAGACAUCUGGAGGGAGACGGGUGAGAUCCACAUAGUACCACUUGUCGUACAAGGAAUACUUGCGAAUCGUUGGCGUUUUUCCACUGAUGUUCAGUUGCACAUCUCCCAACGCGCGGCACGUGGUUGAGGAUGUGCAGACAAAACUGAUACCGCGGCCAGGAAUGCGCACAAAGUCACGCACUUGCGGGCGGGCGUCAAUCCACACCUGCUGUUGCGGUCCAGCCAACGAGCGGAGGAUAUCAUCGAUGUUGUGAUCUGUGACAAUAUCAGCAGCGGGAAUCCACAUGCUGAAACACUCCUCCAAUGCGACAGGUGUCGGUAGUGAGGCUAGCGCAGCUGAACGCAUUGAGGUGUGGUCGCAUAAUUCACCUUCCAUUGCCUUCACGCUUCGUGUAAACACGAUAUCAUCAGGGAUGAAACGGCGUGGGCGGUCCGGAGAUUUAGCCACUAUGCCUGGCGUAGUUGGCGCCAAAGCACGUUGCGGCAUGGGUUUGCGCGGCGGCGUUUCCUUCGGCGUCAAAGAUGCCGCUGGCGUUUUCUUUGGUGGUGGCGAUGUUGUUUUCUUCGUCAUUUCUACUGCCUCUUUUGAUAUGCAGAGCUUCUUUUCUUUCUUCUUUGUUUUUUUGUUGUUUUUGUUGUUUUUGAUUGUGGGCACGAAUAUGUAUUUCAACGUACGGCGCUUUUUCUAGUAGAGCUGUCGAUUCCUCACAGCACUACGAACCUUAUUCAAGCGAAUGUGGCGAGUAGGCAAGACUUUAGUCAGCAAUUGGAAGCAAAACGAUCCUCAAAUCGCGGCUUGCCAAAGGAGCACUUCGGUCUGGGAGUACGUGAAUCCGGAGAGGGUUGAUCAACAGUAACAGCCUCGCCGACAAGCGGGGUGAACGACAGCGUGUUCAAACCACGUAGUGGAAAGACACAACUAUCUAGCAGCAACUAUUCCGCAACAAACCAAGGAAAACGCCGGCAGGCACUACACACUCUAACGAGAGUGUUUAAGCGUGGGCGGCGUGUUUUACGAGCAGCACAGCAAAAGCUGAGCGUAGCGACCAACACGGGAGCGGAAGGGGCCUUGUGUCCAACUGCGCGAGGGGUAGGACAGGGGUCUUUGGGGGCAGACGGUACGGAGUGAUUGUCACUUGCGUACUAGCCAGUAAAUUGGGAACUGGGGAGUUUGGCUGGGGCGGCACAUCUGUUAAAUGAUAACACAGGUGUCCUAAGGUGAGCUCAAUGAGAACAGAAAUCUCAUGUAGAACAAAAGGGUAAAAGCUCACUUGAUUUUGAUUUUCAGUAUGAAUACAAACCGUGAAAGCGUGGCCUAUCGAUCCUUUAGUUCUUUAGAAUUUUAAGCUAGAGGUGUCAGAAAAGUUACCACAGGGAUAACUGGCUUGUGGCAGCCAAGCGUCCAUAGCGACGUUGCUUUUUGAUUCUUCGAUGUCGGCUCUUCCUAUCAUUGCGAAGUAGAACUCGCCAAUUGUUGGAUUGUUCACCCACUAAUAGGGAACGUGAGCUGGGUUUAGACCGUCGUGAGACAGGUUAGUUUUACCCUACUGAUGAGUUCGUUGUCUAAACAGUAAUCCAACCCAGUACGAGAGGAACCGUUGGUUCAGAUAAUUGGUAACUGCAGUUAGCUGAAAAGCUAGUGCUGCCAAGCUACCAUCUGUAGGAUUAUGGCUGAACGCCUCUAAGUCAGAAUCCAUGCUGGAAUAGACGAUAAUCACCUUUCCUGAUGUACCGCGAAUAGCGAUAGAUGUCUUUUGGGCAUCCAACAUCAUAAAAUUGCAACGCACUCGCAUUGCCUGACAAAUGUUGGUAGU
RNAcentral lists this ribosomal RNA (2882 nucleotides) under Globisporangium ultimum DAOM BR144. RNAcentral's name for it is "eukaryotic LSU rRNA". The stretch from base 2168 to 2882 matches the Rfam family "Eukaryotic large subunit ribosomal RNA", at positions 2391 to 3262 of the family's 3401-position model. The record is from RNAcentral. Lineage: Eukaryota; Oomycota; Peronosporomycetes; Pythiales; Pythiaceae.